RNAcentral lists this ribosomal RNA (1506 nucleotides) under uncultured bacterium. RNAcentral's name for it is "bacterial SSU rRNA". It matches the Rfam family "Bacterial small subunit ribosomal RNA". The record is from RNAcentral.
UAGAGUUUGAUCCUGGCUCAGAUUGAACGCUGGCGGCAUGGUUAAAACAUGCAAGUCGAACGCGAAAGGGGGCAACCCCGAGUAGAGUGGCGAAAGGGCGAGUAAUGCGUUUCUAACGUACCCUGAGCACGGGGAUAGCUCGCCGAAAGGCGAAUUAAUACCCGAUGAUGCUGGUGGACUGCAUGGUCUGCCUGCCAAAGUAGCAAUACGGCUCAGGAGCGGGGAACGUCCUAUCAGGUAGUUGGUGAGGUAACGGCUCACCAAGCCUAAGACGGGUAGCGGGUGUGAGAGCACGGCCCGCCGCAUCGGGACUGAGACACUGCCCGGACUCCUACGGGAGGCUGCAGUAACGAAUAUUCCGCAAUGCGCGAAAGCGUGACGGAGCGAUGCCGCGUGGAGGAUGAAGCCCCUCGGGGUGUAAACUCCUGUCAGGGUUUAGCAACUCAAUGAGCAGACCCAGAGGAAGAGACGGCUAACUCUGUGCCAGCAGCCGCGGUAAUACAGAGGUCUCAAGCGUUAAUCGGAGUCACUGGGCUUAAAGGGUGCGUAGGCUGGCCCGCAAGUGCUUUGUGAAAUCCCAUGGCUCAACCAUGGAAUUGCUUGGCAGACUGCGGGUCUUGAGGUCGGUAGAGGUCGCUGGAACUCUAGGUGGAGCGGUGAAAUGCGUAGAUAUCUAGAGGAACGCCGAUGGUGAAGACAGGCGACUGGGCCGAUUCUGACGCUGAGGCACGAAAGCGUGGGGAGCAAACGGGAUUAGAUACCCCGGUAGUCCACGCCCUAAACGAUGUACACUAGAUCGCAGAGGCUUUGACGCCCCUGUGAUCGAAGGAAAACUGUUAAGUGUACCGCCUGGGGAGUACGGUCGCAAGGCUAAAACUCAAAGGAAUUGACGGGGGCUCACACAAGCGGUGGAGCAUGUGGCUUAAUUCGAAGCAACGCGAAGAACCUUAUCCUAGGCUUGACAUGUAUGGAUUAGCUCCUGGAAACAGGAGUGAGGCCUUCGGGUACAACAUACACAGGUGCUGCAUGGCUGUCGUCAGCUCGUGCUGUGAAGUGUCGGGUUAAGUCCCUUAACGAGCGAAACCCCUGUCGUUAGUUGCUACCGCGUCAUGGCGAGGACUCUAACGAGACUGCCGGUGUCAAACCGGAGGAAGGUGGGGAUGACGUCAAGUCCUCAUGGCCCUUAUGCCUAGGGCUGCACACGUGCUACAAUGGCGUAAACAAAGCGACGCGAGACCGCAAGGUGGAGCAAAUCGCACAAAGUACGCCCCAGUUCAGAUUGAGGUCUGCAACCCGACCUCAUGAAGUUGGAAUCGCUAGUAAUCGCGGAUCAGCUACGCCGCGGUGAAUAUGUUCCUGAGCCUUGUACACACCGCCCGUCAAGCCAUGGGAGCCGGGAGCACCCGAAGCCGCCACGAUUCAGUGGUGUCUACGGUGAGCUCGGUGACUGGGGCUAAGUCGUAACAAGGUAGCCGUAGGGGAACCUGCGGCUGGAUCACCUCCUUA